CCUACGGGAGGCAGCAGUGGGGAAUAUUGGACAAUGGGCGCAAGCCUGAUCCAGCCAUGCCGCGUGAGUGAUGAGAGGCCCUAGGGUUGUAAAGCUCUUUUGUGCGGGAAGAUAAUGACGGUACCGCAAGAUAAGCCCCGGCUAACUUCGUGCCAGCAGCCGCGGUAAUACGAAGGGGGCUAGCGUUGCUCGGAAUCACUGGGCGUAAAGGGUGCGUAGGCGGGUCUUUAAGUCAGAGGUGAAAUCCUGGAGCUCAACUCCAGAACUGCCUUUGAUACUGAGGAUCUUGAGUUCGGCAGAGGUGAGUGAACUGCGAGUGUAGAGGUGAAAUUCGUAGAUAUUCGCAAGAACACCAGUGGCGAAGGCGGCUCACUGGCCCGAUACUGACGCUGAGGCACGAAAGCGUGGGGAGCAAACAGGAUUAGAUACCCUGGUAGUCCCCGCCGUAAACGAUGAAUGCCAGCCGUUGGUGGGUUUACUCUACCAGUGGCGCAGCUAACGCUUUAAGCAUUCCGCCUGGGGAGUACGGUCGCAAGAUUAAAACUCAAAGGAAUUGACGG
Molecule: ribosomal RNA, 560 nt
Filed under: uncultured bacterium
Lineage: Bacteria
Description: bacterial SSU rRNA
Rfam family: Bacterial small subunit ribosomal RNA
Source: RNAcentral